UGGAUGGAUACAGAGCUGCUUUAUUUUGUAAGGGUAAUUCGUUAUUGUGAAGGGCACACCGGACUUUAUGGGGUGAGACACUUCCGGUUGAACGUUGCACGGGGAACCUCCGAACGAUAGACUGCAACUUCGUGUCGUAGGCCAAGCACAGCCUUUUUACACCUUCUUGACUCGCUGGUGAAUAAAUCGCUGAAAAUAUCAA
Hippocampus zosterae (dwarf seahorse) is the source of this 202-nucleotide long non-coding RNA. RefSeq lists it as uncharacterized. The transcript has 2 exons. The record is from RefSeq and is a predicted model, not a curated record. Lineage: Eukaryota; Metazoa; Chordata; Actinopteri; Syngnathiformes; Syngnathidae.